GCUAUUUUACUGAAAUGAUGGUUGCACCUUCUUCUACAAACAGGGCUUCCUUUUUUGAACUCAAAGUUCACGCCUGAUGGGGACAUGAUCUCAUCAUGUUGCAGGACCUACAUUUGUGAUAACUGAGGACAGCUGCUGUGGACAAUUCUGAGGAAAGUUACUCAGGACAGUUAUUGUGGACAUUGGGCAAUCAGUGAGAACAAUUACUGUGGACUGCUCCUGCGGAUGGUGACUGUGGACAGUUAAUGUGGUUACUGUGGACAGUUUCAUUAGGGGUUACUGUAGAUGGUUCUUGUAGGGGUUAAUAUGGAUGGUUCCUUUAAGGGGUAAGAUGGACGGUUCCUUUAGGGGUUACUGUAGAUGGUUCCUUUAAGGGUUAAUGUAGAUGGUUCUUGUAGGGUUUAAUGUGGAUGGUUCCUUUAAGGGUUAAUGUGGAUGGUUCCUUUAAGGGUUAAUGCGGGCGGUUCCUUUAAGGGUUUAAUGUGGAUGGUUCCUUUAAGGGUUUAAUGUGGACGGUUCCUUUAAGGGUUUAAUGUGGAUGGUUCCUUUAAAGAUUAAUGUGGACGGUUCCUUUAAGGGUUUAAUGUGGACGGUUCCUUUAAGGGUUAAUGCGGAUGGUUCCUUUAAGGGUUAAUGUGGACGGUUCCUUUAAGGGUUUAAUGUGGACGGUUCCUUUAAGGGUUAAUGUGGACGGUUCCUUUAAGGGUUUAAUGUGGACGGUUCCUUUAAGGGUUAAUGUGGAUGGUUCCUUUAAGGGUUAAUGUGGACGGUUCCUUUAAGGGUUUAAUGUGGACGGUUCCUUUAAGGGUUUAAUGUGGACGGUUCCUUUAAGGGUUAAUGUGGAUGGUUCCUUUAAGGGUUUAAUGUGGAUGGUUCCUUUAAGGGUUUAAUGCGGAUGGUUCCUUUAAGGGUUAAUGCGGACGGUUCCUUUAAGGGUUUAAUGUGGACGGUUCCUUUAAAGGUUAAUGUGGACGGUUCCUUUAAGGGUUUAAUGUGGACGGUUCCUUUAAGGGUUAAUGUGGAUGGUUCCUUUAAGGGUUAAUGUGGAUGGUUCCUGUAUUGCAUAAGCUGGACUCUUCAUGUGGGGUUGAGGGUAUCUGAACUGCUCCAGUGUUAGAGCUUGUUGGCUGUAAGGAUGAUGGCAUGGCUUUCAGGAUUCCAUAAAUUCCUAAAGUUUUUGCUGCUGACCCUGGGCACCCUGCUGACCACUUACAUCAUUAUGAUUUCCAUGCAGAAUCCAGUGUAUCCAGCCAAUCAGAUGCAGGAGUUUUAUCACAGAGUGCACUGUUCCCGCCUCCAGGCCAAGAUCUCCAACAUGAGCACCACUAAAAAGUGAGCUGUUCAUCCGUUACUGAAGAUGUUCUGGAUCGACUGCUGCCGACUCAGAACUGAUCAGGAUCAUAUUCAUCUUCUAUUCAGGAACAUUUUCCUCUUUAAAGCUCUCCAAACGGAAGAUCUGUAGUCGGUCAGAACGCAUGCAGUAUUAUCUUACAUAACUCAAUAACUCUAUAAAACACCACUGUAUUAUUAUGAACACCAUAACUGCUGUAUUUUUAUACAUAAAACAAAAACUGUAUAUAAUAUUGCACUGUGAUUGUAUAUAAUGCCAUAACUGUCUAUAUUACUGCAGUGUUAUUAUACAUAACAUCAUAACUAUAUAUAUUACUGCAGUGUUAUUAUAGAUAACAUUGUAACUGUAUAUAAUACUGCAGUGUUAUUAUAGAUAAUGUCGUAAUUAUAUAUAAUACUGGAGUGUUAUAAAUAACGUCAUAAUUGUGUAAAAUACUGCAGUGUUGUUACAAAUAAUACCAUAACUGUAUAUAAUACUGCAGUUAUUAUCGAUAUCAACAAAACUGUAUAUAAUGCUGCAGUGUUAUUAUAAAUAACAUCAUAAUUGUAUAAAAUACUGCAGUGGUAUUAUAGAUAAUGCCAUAAUUACAUAUAAUACUGCAGUGUUGUUACAAAUAACACCAUAACUGUAUAUAAUACUGCACUGUUUUAUAGAUAACAAAACUGUAUAUAAUACUGCACUGUUUUAUAGAUAACAAAACUGUAUAUAAUACUGCAGUGUAAUUAUAGAUAAUUCUGUAUAUAUUUAUAAUACUGCAGUGGUAUUAUAGAUAACAGCGUAACUGUAUGUAAUACUGCAGUGUUAUUAUAGAUUGUCAGACAACUUGAGCGAAAAUGGCGCCUGACUAAACUAGAAGUGUUCCAGUCCGCCUGGAAGGAGAGCCUUAUAGACUGUAGAAGAGCACUUGCUACAGCACGCUCAGCCUCUCUCUCCUCUCUCAUAGAGGACUAUUAUUUAGCAAAUUUCUAAAAUAACGAAGAACCAAACAGUUAGUGAACCCCAGAUGCCAUCAGCCUAUAGCAGCAAUGAUUUUAUGAACUUCUUUAGUGAUAAAAUUGAAAAAAAAAAAAUAGGCAGAAAAUUCAGAAACCACAGUUAAACUCUACAAACCUCCUGUCUUAUAAUGCCAGUCUAGAUCCUGAGAAUAUUAUAAUCACUGUAGAGAGGCUGGAAUCGUUUACCUUACUUCAACAAACUUACCUAGUUAAAAUUGUUUCCUCUGCAAAAUCUUCUACUUGUAUGUUAGAUCCAAUUCCUAAAGGUUUACUCAAGGAAAUUUUGCCAGAAAUAACCAAGCCUAUUCUGUCAAUAAUAAACUCCUCUCUUAGCCUUGGCUAUAUACCAAAAACUCUCAAA
This is a long non-coding RNA of Colossoma macropomum (tambaqui), 2707 nucleotides long. RefSeq lists it as uncharacterized. Lineage: Eukaryota; Metazoa; Chordata; Actinopteri; Characiformes; Serrasalmidae. The record is from RefSeq and is a predicted model, not a curated record. The transcript has 3 exons.